This 73-nucleotide transfer RNA is filed under the name Bos taurus (domestic cattle). Its description in RNAcentral is "tRNA-Arg (CCT) (tRNA-Arg-CCT-18-1)". It matches the Rfam family "tRNA". From Rfam's summary of the family: Transfer RNA (tRNA) molecules are approximately 80 nucleotides in length. Their secondary structure includes four short double-helical elements and three loops (D, anti-codon, and T loops). The record is from Rfam by way of RNAcentral. Lineage: Eukaryota; Metazoa; Chordata; Mammalia; Artiodactyla; Bovidae. RNAcentral also lists the same sequence under 5 other names.
UCCUUGGUGGUCCAGUGGCUAAGACUCUGCACUCCUAAUGCAGGGGACCUGGGUUCAAUCCCUGGUUAGGGAA